GAACGCACAUUGCGCCCGCCAGUACUCUGGCGGGCAUGCCUGUCUGAGCGUCAUUUCAACCCUCGCACCCGGCUUCUGUCGGGGGCGGUGUUGGGGAUCGGCCUCCCGUCUGACGGGCGGCCGGCCCCUAAAUGGAGUGGCGACCACGCCGUAGCCUCCUCUGCGUAGUAGUGAAACACUCGCGGGCGGAGAGCGGUGCGGUCCGCCGUAAAACCCCCAACUCUUUCUAAGGUUGACCUCGGAUCAGGUAAGGAUACCCGCUGAACUUAAG
Molecule: unclassified non-coding RNA, 271 nt
Filed under: uncultured Hypocreales
Lineage: Eukaryota; Fungi; Ascomycota; Sordariomycetes; Hypocreales
Description: sequence contains 5.8S rRNA gene
Rfam family: 5.8S ribosomal RNA (bases 1-53)
Source: RNAcentral